AAUAGAUACCCGGGUAGUCCACGCCGUAAACGAUGUCGACUUGGAGGUUGUUCCCUUGAGGAGUGGCUUCCGGAGCUAACGCGUUAAGUCGACCGCCUGGGGAGUACGGCCGCAAGGUUAAAACUCAAAUGAAUUGACGGGGGGCCCGCACAAGCGGUGGAGCAUGUGGUUUAAUUCGAUGCAACGCGAAGAACCUUACCUACUCUUGACAUCCACGGAACUUUUCAGAGAUGAAUUGGUGCCUUCGGGAACCGUGAGACAGGUGCUGCAUGGCUGUCGUCAGCUCGUGUUGUGAAAUGUUGGGUUAAGUCCCGCAACGAGCGCAACCCUUAUCCUUUGUUGCCAGCGGUCCGGCCGGGAACUCAAAGGAGACUGCCAGUGAUAAACUGGAGGAAGGUGGGGAUGACGUCAAGUCAUCAUGGCCCUUACGAGUAGGGCUACACACGUGCUACAAUGGCGCAUACAAAGAGAAGCGACCUCGCGAGAGCAAGCGGACCUCAUAAAGUGCGUCGUAGUCCGGAUUGGAGUCUGCAACUCGACU
This 541-nucleotide ribosomal RNA is filed under the name uncultured bacterium. RNAcentral describes it as "bacterial SSU rRNA". It matches the Rfam family "Bacterial small subunit ribosomal RNA", at positions 777 to 1317 of the family's 1533-position model. The record is from RNAcentral.